CCAAUAGCGUAUAUUAAAGUUGUUGCAGUUAAAAAGCUCGUAGUUGAAUUUCGGGAUCGACGGGUCGGUCGCGCCUCUGGUGUGUACUGGCCCUGUCGGUUUCUCCCUUCUGACGAACCACGAUGUCAUUAAUUUGGUGUCGUGGGAAAUCAGGACUGUUACUUUGAAAAAAUUAGAGUGUUUAAAGCAAGCAUUCGCUUGAAUACAUUAGCAUGGAAUAAUGAAAUAGGACGUUUGAUCUUAUUUUGUUGGUUUCUAAGAUCGACGUAAUGAUUAAUAGGGAUAGUUGGGGGCAUUAGUAUUCAAUUGUCAGAGGUGAAAUUCUUGGAUUUAUUGAAGACUAACUACUGCGAAAGAAUUUGCCAAGGAUGUUUUCAUUAAUCAAGAACGAAAGUUAGGAGAUCGAAGACGAUCAGAUACCGUCGUAGUCUUAACCAUAAACUAUGACGACUAGGGAUCGGAUGAUGUUAAUUUUUUAAUGACUCAUUCGGCGCCUUACG
RNAcentral lists this ribosomal RNA (500 nucleotides) under uncultured Glomeromycotina. RNAcentral's name for it is "partial small subunit ribosomal RNA". It matches the Rfam family "Eukaryotic small subunit ribosomal RNA", at positions 591 to 1092 of the family's 1831-position model. Lineage: Eukaryota; Fungi; Glomeromycota. The record is from RNAcentral.